ACCUGGGUGGCUCAGUUGGUUAAGCAUCUGACUUUGGCUCAGGUCGUGAUGUGGCAGUUUGUGGGUUCUAGCCCCACAUCGGGCU
RNAcentral lists this transfer RNA (85 nucleotides) under Felis catus (domestic cat). It matches the Rfam family "tRNA". From Rfam's summary of the family: Transfer RNA (tRNA) molecules are approximately 80 nucleotides in length. Their secondary structure includes four short double-helical elements and three loops (D, anti-codon, and T loops). Further hydrogen bonds mediate the characteristic L-shaped molecular structure. tRNAs have two regions of fundamental functional importance: the anti-codon, which is responsible for specific mRNA codon recognition, and the 3' end, to which the tRNAs corresponding amino acid is attached (by aminoacyl-tRNA synthetases). tRNAs cope with the degeneracy of the genetic code in two manners: having more than one tRNA (with a specific anti-codon) for a particular amino acid; and 'wobble' base-pairing, i.e. permitting non-standard base-pairing at the 3rd anti-codon position. Lineage: Eukaryota; Metazoa; Chordata; Mammalia; Carnivora; Felidae. The record is from Rfam by way of RNAcentral.